RNAcentral lists this transfer-messenger RNA (329 nucleotides) under Vagococcus sp. AM17-17. It matches the Rfam family "transfer-messenger RNA". Rfam says of the family: Bacterial tmRNA, also known as 10Sa RNA or SsrA, is named for its dual tRNA and mRNA-like properties. The record is from RNAcentral. Lineage: Bacteria; Bacillati; Bacillota; Bacilli; Lactobacillales; Enterococcaceae.
AUUGGUAUCAAGGGCAGUCCGUCAAAUGUUCAAAUCCCUAAAACAAUAAAAAUAACAAGUUCUUAAAAAUAAAAGUAACAAUUUUAUGUGGUUUUAUCAUAAAAAAAUGACUUUAAAUUCCUCUCGGCAUCGCCCAUGUGCUCAAGUAAGGGUCUCAAAUUAAGUGGGAUACGCUAAAUUUUUCCGUCUGUAAAAUUUAGAAGAGAUUAUCAGACUAGCGAAAGUUACGGCCUGUUAUUCGGCAGAGACUUGAGCGAAUUUCAAAUAGGAUAACUAUGAGCGUAGAUGUUUAGGUGGCAAUAUGUUUGGACGCGGGUUCGACUCCCGUC